Molecule: ribosomal RNA, 356 nt
Filed under: uncultured bacterium
Lineage: Bacteria
Description: bacterial SSU rRNA
Rfam family: Bacterial small subunit ribosomal RNA
Source: RNAcentral
AGAGUUUGAUCCUGGCUCAGGAUGAACGCUAGCUACAGGCUUAACACAUGCAAGUCGAGGGAAACGGACAUCGAAAGCUUGCUUUUGAUGGGCGUCGACCGGCGCACGGGUGAGUAACGCGUAUCCAACCUGCCCACCACUUGGGGAUAACCUUGCGAAAGUAAGACUAAUACCCAAUGAUAUCUCUAGAAGACAUCUGAAAGAGAUUAAAGAUUUAUCGGUGAUGGAUGGGGAUGCGUCUGAUUAGCUUGUUGGCGGGGUAACGGCCCACCAAGGCAACGAUCAGUAGGGGUUCUGAGAGGAAGGUCCCCCACAUUGGAACUGAGACACGGUCCAAACUCAUACGGGAGGCAGCA